Molecule: unclassified non-coding RNA, 338 nt
Filed under: soil metagenome
Description: partial contains 5.8S ribosomal RNA, internal transcribed spacer 2, and large subunit ribosomal RNA
Rfam family: 5.8S ribosomal RNA (bases 1-120)
Source: RNAcentral
GAUGAAGAACGUAGCGAAAUGCGAUAAGUAAUGUGAAUUGCAGAAUUCAGUGAAUCAUCGAAUCUUUGAACGCACAUUGCGCUCGCCAGUAUUCUGGCGGGCAUGCCUGUUCGAGCGUCAUUUCAACCAUCAAGCCCCAGGCUUGUGUUGGGGACCUGCGGCUGCCGCAGGCCCUGAAAACCAGUGGCGGGCUCGCUAGUCACACCGAGCGCAGUAGCACAUCUCGCUCAGGGCGUGCGGCGGGCUCCUGCCGUGAAACCCCCCACUGUAACCCCAAAGGUUGACCUCGGAUCAGGUAGGAAUACCCGCUGAACUUAAGCAUAUCAAUAAGCGGAGGA